CCUACGGGAGGCAGCAGUGGGGAAUAUUGGACAAUGGGCGAAAGCCUGAUCCAGCCAUGCCGCGUGAAUGAUGAAGGCCUUAGGGUUGUAAAGUUCUUUUAUCAGGGAAGAUGAUGACGGUACCUGAAGAAUAAGCACCGGCUAACUUCGUGCCAGCAGCCGCGGUAAUUCGAAGGGUGCUAGCGUUGUUCGGAAUCACUGGGCGUAAAGCGCGCGUAGGCGGCUUCACAAGUCAGAGGUGAAAUCCCAAGGCUCAACCUUGGAACUGCCUUUGAAACUGUAAAGCUGGAGUGUCGGAGGGGAUGGCGGAAUUGCUAAUGUAGAGGUGAAAUUCGUAGAUAUUAGCAGGAACACCGGUGGCGAAGGCGGCCAUCUGGACGACACUGACGCUGAGGCGCGAAAGCGUGGGGAUCAAACAGGAUUAGAUACCCUGGUAGUCCACGCUGUAAACGAUGGGUGCUAGCCGUUGGGGCCUUAGGUCUCAGUGGCGCAGCUAACGCGUUAAGCACCCCGCCUGGGGAGUACGGUCGCAGGAUUAAAACUCAAAGAAAUUGACGGGGACCCGCACAAGCGGUGGAACAUGUGGUUUAAUUCGAGGCAACGCGAAGAACCUUACCAGGGUUUGACAUGCUCUUUAUAGGAUCCCCAAAAGGAUCCGUCAGUUCGGCUGGAAGAUGCACAGGUGCUGCAUGGCUGUCGUCAGCUCGUGUCGUGAGAUGUUGGGUUAAGUCCCGCAACGAGCGCAACCCUCAUCCUCUGUUGCUAGCAGGUAAUGCUGAGAACUCUGAGGAAACUGCCGGUGAUAAGCCGGAGGAAGGUGGGGAUGACGUCAAGUCCUCAUGGCCCUUACACCCUGGGCUACACACGUGUUACAAUGGCAGUGACAAUGGGAAGCGAAAUCGCGAGAUGGAGCGAAUCCCCAAAAGCUGCCUCAGUUUGGAUUGUACUCUGCAACUCGAGUGCAUGAAAUUGGAAUCGCUAGUAAUCGUAGAUCAGCACGCUACGGUGAAUACGUUCCCGGGUCUUGUACACACCGCCCGU
RNAcentral lists this ribosomal RNA (1041 nucleotides) under uncultured bacterium. Its description in RNAcentral is "bacterial SSU rRNA". It matches the Rfam family "Bacterial small subunit ribosomal RNA", at positions 338 to 1397 of the family's 1533-position model. The record is from RNAcentral.